GUGUGCUAGAAAGGGGGAGCUCGCUCUCUUUCUAUGUACUAGAACUGCAGUGAAUUGAAGGCAAUAAGCUAUAAAUAUAUGGUAACAGUAACAUCUAAGCAUAUAGAUUGAUAUAGAUAGCCAUUGUCACCUAUUGCCACCGCGAACACGGCAUGGACACCAAAGAGGUUUUUACACAAGUUCUCAAGCAAUGGAUCAUCAUGUGCACACUUCUAUUCAGGCCUGAGCUCAUGCGUCCCUUGAUUGAUCUGGCCAUUGCUUGUUGUAUAAGUUUGUUUGGUUUUCCUUAGGUUGCUGCUGCAGUGCUGCCUAGAAACCAAGCGUAGACAAUUUUAAACAGGACUUCGAUAACAGAAAUGCUACAAUUAUGAGUUCAAAACCAAUAUUGUGUCUUUAAAGUAGAAUCUCAGUAUAUUAAACAUGCACUACAUGGUUGGCGGUGAAAAAUACAUUAUCCUGACCAAAUUGUUGCAGUUGAUAUACAGUAUGCAAAGAUCAGCAUCUUAACCUGCACUACCUGGUUGUCAACUAUAGGAAUCAUUUAUUGACUUCUUAUUUUACUAAAUUGUUGUGCAUACAAAUAAAAAAAAGUGAAUAGUAAUAACCUGCAAACUCUGCCAAAUUACCAAGUGGGAAGCUCACCCAUGUCGCUAGACUGAGCUACCAUCACUUCUGCAUUCCACUGGAUUUUUUUUAUAAGAAAGAAAAUGUUGUUCAUAUAAUAAAAAAUGAUAACUGGUAUGCAUAUCUGUCGUGCAACAAUAGCAAAACGGUCUGAUAGAGGAAAAUAAUGACUUCAGCUCAUAACUAUUUGUAUUACUAUGUGAGUAAUCUAAUCCAGCUUGCGAAACAUGGAACAACAAACAAAACAAACGGAUAGCCAGGGAUAAGAGUGGUACCUCAUCUAGUUAUCUUCUAGUGUGGAUCCGGUGGUGCCUGGUGCCAAUCUGAUGGCCAGGGCUGAGAUCUACGCGGACAGGUUGAGUGCUGCCAUGGGAGUAGACAACGAAGGUGGAGUAGCCUGGAGUGAGCAUGCAGCAAAGGCAAAAAGAGAUAAAAAUGAAACACAAAGAGGAAGUCAGAGGGUCAGAGAACCAAAGAUGGGGGAGAUGAAGUUGACCGCCACGACCCAUGGAGCUAGCAUGACACCAUGCAGAGCAACGGACGCAUGGAGCAUACUCCAGGAUAAGAGUAGACUCAUAGAGCUAGCAAGAGAGUAGGAGAGAGAAUCUCACCAUCGACACCAAUGCAGCUCCAAGAUUUGGGCGGGGUCCAAGUGUACCGGAGGGAUCUCAGCGAGAUCCUUGCCCAUGGGCCAUGGUUGCGGCAUGGGCAUGGCCGCUGACUUGCCAAGAUCCCGCCCUGCUGCUAGAUCCUCGAAGGCUGCUUAGUACGGAGAUGUCUGUGGUCACCACGGAUACGACCGUGGAGGAGGCGGAGGAGCGACGUUGGAGAGCUGGGAGCACGCGCCGCCAUACGCGAGGGUAGCGGCGCAGGGAUGACGGGCACUUCGAUUACCGUGUCAUCACGAGGCCUUAUCCUAUCGCGACUUCUCUGGUGUGCGACGUUUAGGGAGGAGGGGUGGAUCUGCUGGAGCUAGCACCGGCGGCAGAUUCAGUGUGGCAGGACAUUGCGCCGCCAACAAUGGGAGAAG
RNAcentral lists this long non-coding RNA (1654 nucleotides) under Sorghum bicolor (sorghum). RNAcentral describes it as "long non-coding RNA (SBIC_LNC016761)". The record is from RNAcentral. Lineage: Eukaryota; Viridiplantae; Streptophyta; Magnoliopsida; Poales; Poaceae.